Long non-coding RNA from Xiphias gladius (swordfish), 2265 nucleotides. RefSeq lists it as uncharacterized. NCBI's taxonomy places the organism in Eukaryota, Metazoa, Chordata, Actinopteri, Istiophoriformes, Xiphiidae. The transcript has 4 exons. The record is from RefSeq and is a predicted model, not a curated record.
GCUCUCCGCGGGAGCGCGUCGUGUCCGCGACGGAGGAGCCGCUUGGAGCCUGAGGCAGGGGCCAUCACUCCGCCGGACCACGAAGCUGAACCCGUUGCUGUUAAAUCCUCAAGGGAAAUAACCACGCUGAUCGAUCUGCUGGAUUGGCCAGACCACGGAUCGUUGUCCGGACGCAUUAACGGGAUUUAAUGCUAACACUACAGCACUGACACGCGUGUGGAGCUAUUAUUAUUAUUAGUAUUAUUAUUAGUAUUGGUAAAACCUGAGCACGAUGGCAGCAGCUGGUGAAUUCAAGAGUCCAGCUGCAGAUCGCCCGGUGGCACAUAAGGAAAUACUGUCUCUUUCCCGGGAUGGACCGGUUUCUAUUACUCCUGCUGCCAGAGUCCUGCUGCUGGACAAGCUGUUCGUCGGACAGACGCGUCCCUCGGGAUACUCCACGCGUGUUCAAGGGCAGCCGGUGCUCUAGGUGGCCGGUAUCGUGAUAUGCUUUUGGAAAAUUUGUUGUGGUGGAUUUUUUUUUUUUUUUUUGGAGCAGGGGAAGCAAUAUCCUGGAAUAUAUUUUUGUUAGCGAUGCUCGGCAGACGUCCAGCAAUUUGGAUAACGAGAGCACGCCUCAGCUCAUCCAGCAGAUUGAAGGAAUCCAAAUUCCUAGAACAAGAUGUCAACCUCUAAUUGCUUCCCAGGGAUCGUCUGACGAUCUAAGGUGAGCACCAAGAAGAGGCUGACUAAUGGAAAUGUGAUCUCAAGAGAUUCAACGGGACCACACUAAAUCCUAGUUUGGACUGUGGACCAGCCUCCCCCUACAGCAGAUCUUUGCUCCUGGCGUGGCUGCCGACAGCACGAGCUCCAUCACUGACAAUCUCGCGCUCAGGAUCCGGCGCCAGCAGCUCGGACUUGGAGAAGCUGAAGAAGCUGUGACACGAGCUCAGCAGGACAGCUGAGUGUAUUCUGCUGCUCAGACAUUAUGGAAUAGAUCAGUCAACCCUGUCUGGAGAGUUGCUUAAUGGGAAAGUCAACUCGAUGAAUGUGCAUUUACCAUAGUUACCACAAUGGAUCUACAUGUUAUUUGACUUUUUCUUUAUUGAACCUGGAUUAAUAUUUUCUGUAUUUACAUCUGCUUUUGAUAUCGAGCGUUUAUUCACACUGUUUCUCAUACACUGUACUGUAGUUGUGACAUUUACUGUAUUAUUCUGGGACAAGUAUCAACAAGUGCUGGAACUGUAAAUGAAAAAAAAAUGAUCUGAUGUUAUUUUUUUAUUUUUAAGACUAUUUUUACAAACUGAAGGCAGCGCUUACACCAGCGCAGGCAAAUAUCAGGUUCACCUAGUGAAGAGCACAUUAAAUGUCUCCUGCGGUGUAAAACAAAUUAAUACACAUGUAGUCAAGAUUCCUCAGAAGUAUUAACUCAGUGACUGAGUUAAUGUGCCUUAGUCAUCUGACAUCUUCUAAUGGCAAUUACACUGGAUUUCACUGUGACACAUUUAUAUACUGUUUUAAAAUUGGUUAAUAAUCCUGUCAAGCUACUUAUUCUCAUGAUGAUUUAUAGCCCCAUAACUUUUGUUGUGUCCAUGAAACCCUAUUAGCAAAAAUUAAAAUUGUAUCCAAGCUGCUGUUUAUUUUGUCAUUGAAGGUGCAGAUGUAUGAGAAUAAUAACUAUAAUAAUAACUAAUAACUAAUAAGAUGAUUUCAUAAUGUUUGUUAUGUGUCUGCAAACAUGUGUCUGCUGUUAUUGUUUGUCAAGCUGGCUUCGUGACUAGUCAGACCAUUGUUUGCCAAUCUGUUACUGCUGAGGAGUUAUAUCCCUCUUUAUUUUUUUCCUUUAGUGUUCAGACAAUGAAAUGUAGAAUAAAAGUGAAUUUUAAAGUUGAAUUGAACAAGUGUGACAUUUACAUGUUGAUAAGCCUAAUUGUUUUUGGAAAUCUUAGGGUUCUACUUAACAGUGUGAAUAACAGAUCGAUUUUGAAGUGAAUUUACCUUCAUCGCAAGGCUGUUUUCCUGAAAAAGAUGACAUCAUGGAAAAUAUGUUUGCAUGCUGAGUUUAGUUUCUGUAAACCUUGUAUGUAUGAUGUUGACGGAGAAGUGUUUAAUGUCACAGUUGAGGUCAACAGUGGUCAAACUGCAGGGAGUUUUUAUGAUUUGUUCCCCGUCUUCUGUGGAAAGACGUUCCAGCAUACACUACACAAAUGCAUUUAUUGUUUUCAGUUAGUUUGAGUGAGUGCAACAAUUUGGCAGUGACUUCCCAUUCAGCUGUCUUUCACUGUCAAU